AAAUCAGGUAGGAGUACCCGCUGAACUUAAGCAUAUCAAUAAGCGGAGGAAAAGAAACCAACCGGGAUUGCCUUAGUAACGGCGAGUGAAGCGGCAAAAGCUCAAAUUUGAAAUCUGGUACCUUCGGUGCCCGAGUUGUAAUUUGGAGAGGGCAACUUUGGGGCCGUUCCUUGUCUAUGUUCCUUGGAACAGGACGUCAUAGAGGGUGAGAAUCCCGUGUGGCGAGGAGUGCGGUUCUUUGUAAAGUGCCUUCGAAGAGUCGAGUUGUUUGGGAAUGCAGCUCUAAGUGGGUGGUAAAUUCCAUCUAAAGCUAAAUAUUGGCGAGAGACCGAUAGCGAACAAGUACAGUGAUGGAAAG
RNAcentral lists this ribosomal RNA (358 nucleotides) under Vibrio vulnificus. RNAcentral describes it as "eukaryotic LSU rRNA". It matches the Rfam family "Eukaryotic large subunit ribosomal RNA", at positions 8 to 363 of the family's 3401-position model. The record is from RNAcentral. Lineage: Bacteria; Pseudomonadati; Pseudomonadota; Gammaproteobacteria; Vibrionales; Vibrionaceae.